Non-coding RNA from Arachis ipaensis, 1437 nucleotides. The record is from RefSeq and is a predicted model, not a curated record. Lineage: Eukaryota; Viridiplantae; Streptophyta; Magnoliopsida; Fabales; Fabaceae.
UUGAAGAAGAAAAAGAAAUGCAGAGGACCAUAGAGUCAUAUAAUUGAUUUUGACUUUUCUAGUUUCAAUGUAUAAUAAUAUUAAGAACAUGUUCUGAUCUGUAUUUGCAAGUGAAUGUGAUUCCACUAAGAUUAUGAAUUAUAUACAGAGUAAGUAUAGUGAUGUGCAUAUUUGUGUCCUAUUUUUUAUACCUAAAGUAACUAAUUAAAAAUUAGUAGUAACAAAGGAGAGUUACCUGUAAGCACAUAUUAAAUUGGAAUUAAUUUAAGUGUUUGUGAUUAUGAAUUGAAUUGUUUGUGAUUGAAGUUUUCGAACAUGAUGUGAUGGCUAAAAUUGAUGUCUCAGCGUCUUCUUUUACUUGAUGUCUUGUUUCUCUGAUCAUCAUUUUUCUAUCAACUAAUUCUCCCAACUGGACGGCUUGAGCCCAGAGUCACCAUGCUUUCAGUUUCAGAAUCAGAGGGUAUAAGUGUAUGUACAACUGUACAUAGAUGAAUGUAUCGGGACAAAUGAUGAAUGCAUGCAGUGUAAAUAAAGAAUGAAUAAUUGGAAUUGGAAUUGGAAUUGGAAUAGUCGGCACAUAGCUAGUAGGCUCUGGAUUUUGGAGUCAGUCUCUACAUUUAAUUUGUUUGCUUCUUGACUGGUAUAGCGACUUGCCAUUCUCUUUCAAAAUUUGUCUCUUGUUGGAUCUUGUUAUUUUGUUAUCAUGAUAAUUAUAUUGAGAGAAUUAAGGCAUCUCAAGAUAUAUGUUUAAAGCUAUUUAAAAAAGAGGAACAAGGCAGGGAUGACGACACUCAACACAGAGGUAGACUGUAUGGGGCAGCAGCAGCAGAAUCGUGGUGCUGACUACUGUAGUAAUAGACUUGGCGAUGAUCUUCUGAAAUCCUCGCAGAGCAAGAACGGCGACAACGAUCUUCUACAAUCCUAUUCCUAGGAGAGCAAGAACAACAACCGCGAAGCGUAACCCAAAUGUGGACCCGAAGGAGGCAAAGGUGUUAUGUGGUGAUGAGUGAUGACAAAAGCAGGGGAGGAGGUGCUGAGUAUGCUACAGGGUGGAUAACAGAAAAGGGAAAGACUCCUCUUCAAAAGAACGUUUUAAAAGAAAAGGAAAAAAUUUUGGAAAAAUAAAAAUAUAAAAGGAUAAAUAUAUAAUUAUGAACGAAAAGGAUCAAUUUAUAAUUAUCUUUGUGAUGAUCUAUCUUACUAUUACAUAAAUGUGAAAGUGUAAAAUCUUUGGCCUUAAAAACAUAACUAUUUUAAUAAAUAACCUUUUAUCAUAAUUAUUUCAUCGCAUUAGGUAUAAAUUGUAACAGCAACCCAUGAUAUGCACAACUAAAGUUAUUUGAGACUCGAACAAAAAACUAGAAUCCUCUGCGCCUGAAUUAUCAAAACUAUAUUUCAAACAAACUAACUUUUACACUUUAAUACACAGAAAAAAAA